RNAcentral lists this ribosomal RNA (497 nucleotides) under uncultured bacterium. RNAcentral's name for it is "partial 16S ribosomal RNA". It matches the Rfam family "Bacterial small subunit ribosomal RNA", at positions 28 to 507 of the family's 1533-position model. The record is from RNAcentral.
GAUGAACGCUGGCGGCGUGCCUAAUACAUGCAAGUCGAGCGCACAGACGCGGAGUUUGCUCCUCUGACGUUAGCUGCUGACUGGUGAGUAACACAUUGAUACCCUACCUAUCUGCCUGUUAUCACUUCGUGAAACCGGAGCUAAUUCCGUAUAAUCUCUUAAUCUUCAUUGUUCCAUAGUGAAAGACUGUUUUGCUGUCACUUAUAGCUGGUUCCUCGCCGUAUUAUCUAUUUGCUAAGGUAACGGCUUACCAAGUCAACGAUGCGUAGCCGAUCUGCGAGGGGGAUGGGCAAAACGGGAACGGAGAAAAGGUCAAGACUCCUAAGGGAGGCGGCAGUAGGGAAUCUUCGGAAAGGGGCGAAAGCCUGACGGAGAAACGCGGCGGGAGUGAUGAAGGUCUUCGGAUCGUAAAACUCUGUUAUAAGGGAAGAACAAAUGUGUAAGUAAAUAUGCACGUAGUGACGGUACCUAAUCAGAAAGCCACGGCUAACUACGUG